CGUGAGCAACCUACCUUUGAGUUCGGGAUAGCCCUGAGAAAUCAGGAUUAAUACCGGAUGUGGUUACAGAAAGACAUCUUUUUGUAAGUAAAGGCGCAAGCCGCUCAAUGAUGGGCUCGCGGCUUAUUAGCUUGUUGGUGGGGUAAUGGCCUACCAAGGCGAUGAUGAGUAGCUGGUCUGAGAGGACGGUCAGCCACACUGGGACUGAGACACGGCCCAG
RNAcentral lists this ribosomal RNA (220 nucleotides) under uncultured bacterium. RNAcentral describes it as "partial 16S ribosomal RNA". It matches the Rfam family "Bacterial small subunit ribosomal RNA", at positions 116 to 334 of the family's 1533-position model. The record is from RNAcentral.